This 29-nucleotide non-coding RNA is filed under the name Mus musculus (house mouse). The record is from RNAcentral. Lineage: Eukaryota; Metazoa; Chordata; Mammalia; Rodentia; Muridae.
UACCCAACUCUCUGUGACCUGCCUGUUUU